ACUGAGACACGGCCCAGACUCCUACGGGUGGCAGCAGUGGGGAAUAUUGCACAAUGGGCGAAAGCCUGAUGCAGCGACGCCGCGUGAGGGAUGACGGCCUUCGGGUUGUAAACCUCUUUCAGCAGGGAAGAAGCGAAAGUGACGGUACCUGCAGAAGAAGCGCCGGCUAACUACGUGCCAGCAGCCGCGGUAAUACGUAGGGCGCAAGCGUUGUCCGGAAUUAUUGGGCGUAAAGAGCUCGUAGGCGGUCUGUCACGUCGGAUGUGAAAGCCCGGGGCUUAACCCCGGGUCUGCAUUCGAUACGGGCAGACUAGAGUGUGGUAGGGGAGAUCGGAAUUCCUGGUGUAGCGGUGAAAUGCGCAGAUAUCAGGAGGAACACCGGUGGCGAAGGCGGAUCUCUGGGCCAUUACUGACGCUGAGGAGCGAAAGCGUGGGGAGCGAACAGGAUUAGAUACCCUGGUAGUCCACGCCGUAAACGGUGGGAACUAGGUGUUGGCGACAUUCCACGUCGUCGGUGCCGCAGCUAACGCAUUAAGUUCCCCGCCUGGGGAGUACGGCCGCAAGGCUAAAACUCAAAGGAAUUGACGGGGGCCCGCACAAGCAGCGGAGCAUGUGGCUUAAUUCGACGCAACGCGAAGAACCUUACCAAGGCUUGACAUCGCCCGGAAAGCAUCAGAGAUGGUGCCCCCCUUGUGGUCGGGUGACAGGUGGUGCAUGGCUGUCGUCAGCUCGUGUCGUGAGAUGUUGGGUUAAGUCCCGCAACGAGCGCAACCCUUGUUCUGUGUUGCCAGCAUGCCCUUCGGGGUGAUGGGGACUCACAGGAGACUGCCGGGGUCAACUCGGAGGAAGGUGGGGACGACGUCAAGUCAUCAUGCCCCUUAUGUCUUGGGCUGCACACGUGCUACAAUGGCAGGUACAAUGAGCUGCGAUGUCGCAAGGCGGAGCGAAUCUCAAAAAGCCUGUCUCAGUUCGGAUUGGGGUCUGCAACUCGACCCCAUGAAGUCGGAGUUGCUAGUAAUCGCAGAUCAGCAUUGCUGCGGUGAAUACGUUCCCGGGCCUUGUACACACCGCCCGUCACGUCACGAA
RNAcentral lists this ribosomal RNA (1086 nucleotides) under Streptomyces phaeochromogenes. RNAcentral's name for it is "bacterial SSU rRNA". It matches the Rfam family "Bacterial small subunit ribosomal RNA", at positions 318 to 1408 of the family's 1533-position model. Lineage: Bacteria; Bacillati; Actinomycetota; Actinomycetes; Kitasatosporales; Streptomycetaceae. The record is from RNAcentral.